This 253-nucleotide ribosomal RNA is filed under the name uncultured bacterium. RNAcentral's name for it is "partial 16S ribosomal RNA". It matches the Rfam family "Bacterial small subunit ribosomal RNA", at positions 524 to 776 of the family's 1533-position model. The record is from RNAcentral.
UACGAAGGGGGCGAGCGUUGUUCGGAAUUACUGGGCGUAAAGGGCGCGCAGGCGGCCUUAGAAGUCAGAUGUGAAAGCCCCGGGCUCAACCUGGGAAUGGCAUUUGAUACUCUGAGGCCGGAGUACGGGAGAGGAGAGUGGAAUUCCCAGUGUAGAGGUGAAAUUCGUAGAUAUUGGGAAGAACACCGGUGGCGAAGGCGGCUCUCUGGACCGUAACUGACGCUGAGGCGCGAAAGCGUGGGGAGCAAACAGG